GACGAACGCUGGCGGCGUGCUUAACACAUGCAAGUCGAACGAUGAAGCUAGAGCUUGCUCUGGUGAAUUAGUGGCGAACGGGUGAGUAACACGUGAGUAACCUGCCCCGAACUCUGGGAUAACUGCUGGAAACGGUAGCUAAUACUGGAUACGACCUACGAAGGCAUCUUCUGUAGGUGGAAGAAAUUCGGUUCGGGAUGGAAUCGCGGCCUAUCAGCCUGUUGGGGAUGUAAUGGGUUACCAAGGCCACGACGGGUAGCCGGCCUGAGAGGGUGACCGGCCACACUGGGACUGAGACACGGCCCAGACUCCUACGGGAGGCAGCAGUGGGGAAUAUUGCACAAUGGGCGCAAGCCUGAUGCAGCAACGCCGCGUGAGGGAUGACGGCCUUCGGGUUGUAAACCUCUUUUAGUAGGGAAGAAGCGAAAGUGACGGUACCUGCAGAAAAAGCACCGGCUAACUACGUGCCAGCAGCCGCAGUAA
Molecule: ribosomal RNA, 483 nt
Filed under: uncultured bacterium
Lineage: Bacteria
Description: partial 16S ribosomal RNA
Rfam family: Bacterial small subunit ribosomal RNA
Source: RNAcentral